Non-coding RNA from Myotis davidii, 75 nucleotides. NCBI's taxonomy places the organism in Eukaryota, Metazoa, Chordata, Mammalia, Chiroptera, Vespertilionidae. The record is from Rfam.
GGCGGUUCUCGGGUGACACACCCUGGAAUCGGGCUCCCUCCUCCCUAGUUCCGGGUGCGUCACCUGAGAACCACA